AGGAAUUUUAAGACGCUCCACGGAAAAAACAUGGCGGAUGUUUGCUGUAGCGGUUGAGUUUUAUCGCUGGUUUAUUCGCUUUAAUUUCCUUUUUGUCCCUAAAACUUUUGAUUUCCAAAGACUUUUGUUGACUUUCUUUCAACUAAUAUAAGAAAUUAGCAACUUUCAAGGGAUCUUAUACGGGAUUUUCUUCUCUAAGCCCGAAGAUUUGACUAGUCAAUUGCGAGUGGAGAAGAGAAGGCUGAGGGAGAAAGGUGAUACACCUGGAAAACUACCAAAGAAAAAAGAGCCAAGACAACCGCCCUCACGGAAAUGUCUGUUUACUGGCCCGAAAGAGCCGCAAUCGGCGUACAACGUUCCCUGGAACAGAGAGGAAGACUCGGCUUUGGUGCAGUACAUCUGCUUUCAAAAGCAUGUUCUGAUUUAAUUAACAAGCAGAACAAGUAAACUCCAGUUUUUAAUAUGUUUAGGUAUAUCCCUCCUCUAGCUGGACCAUUAAAGAAGGCAAAUCAUUAGAAAUCUUGCACACUUAGAACUUGCUCGACCAAUGGAUGAGCCAUUUUAAUGCAUUUCGUUCCUUUGUUGCAUACUGAUUCUAAAUUCCCUUUUUACCAGCCUGCCUAUUUACUUACAUAUGUUUAUAUGGUUUUUGAAAACCUGGCACAAUGACUUUGUGGACAAUCAAAAUGUUUGCUUUUGUGACCCUUUUGUGCUUUUAUUUUGCUUGAGAUUGAAUCUGAUAACAGGUCAGACCAAAAUAUGUACAGUACACACUGUACCGAGGAUUUUAUAGAAUCGAUAAAGAAGCGAGAGAUACGCUCUAUUUAUUAAAUAAACAUAAUCAUUGUCACAUUUCAGAUAAGCUUUAAAUUAAGGACACCUUGGGUAAGUUAAGGGAUUUCCCUUUCACAUCUAUUACUAUUUAUUACUAUAAAUUAUAUUUGACAGGUUUGCAAAAUAAAAGUGAUGUGGGUACACCAAGAA
Molecule: long non-coding RNA, 984 nt
Organism: Nematostella vectensis (starlet sea anemone)
Lineage: Eukaryota; Metazoa; Cnidaria; Anthozoa; Actiniaria; Edwardsiidae
Exons: 2
Source: RefSeq, a predicted model, not a curated record